AUUGAACGCUGGCGGUAGGCCUAACACAUGCAAGUCGAGCGGAUGAAGGGAGCUUGCUUCUGGUUUCAGCGGCGGACGGGUGAGUAAUGCCUAGGAAUAUGCCUGGUUGCGGGGGAUAACGUCAGGACACGGGCGCUAAUACCGCAUUCGUGCUGAGGGCCUACGUGGGGGAUCUUCGGAUCUUCCGAUAUCACGCGAGCCUAUGUCGGAAUAGCUAGUUGGGGGGGUAAAGGCCUACCAAGGCGCCGAUCCGUUACUGGUCUGGAAGGCUGAUCGGUCACACAUGGACUGGGACACGGUCCAGACCCCUACGGGAAGCAACAGGGGGGAAAAAUUGACAAUGGGCGGAAGGCUGGUCCAACCAUGCCGCGUUUGUUGAGGAAGGCCUCGGAGUUGAAAACACUUUAAGUUGGGAGAAAAAGCAGUAAGUUAAUACCUUGCUGUUUUGACGUUACCAACAGAAUAAGCACCGGCUAACUUCGUG
Molecule: ribosomal RNA, 484 nt
Filed under: uncultured bacterium
Lineage: Bacteria
Description: partial 16S ribosomal RNA
Rfam family: Bacterial small subunit ribosomal RNA
Source: RNAcentral